CUGCUUUCUUUAUAAAUUUUAUUUUCUGAGAUUCAAAUACAUAUAUCACUCAAACUCUACAAUACAAAAUGCCCUCUCAUAUAGUUUCUGUUUCAUUCUAUAGAAAAUGAUAUGAUAUAGUCAAACUGAUUAUAAGUUCAUUGUUCUUUCUUGUUUUUUAAUGGCUUAGAUAUGGUUUAUAUCUUUUAGAAUAGAGUUUUUAUGGCACUUCAAGAAGAAGAUCAUGAGCAUUCAAAAAUAUGUUUACUAUCUUAUUAUUCUUACUAGCAUCAGAUACAUAAGUUAUGAUUGGGAUUAUAUGAUCAUGUUUUUAUGCUUUUCUGAACAACAUUCAGUGUUUUAGAAUGUUCAUUAAAAUCAUUCUCGAAGACAAUAUUCCUUUAACAUAUAAUGUUAUGUUGAAAACAUAAACUUAUUCUUUGUCAUAAUUGUAGUGUUAUAAGUGGUUUAGAAUUGUCUGUUUCUCAAUCAAGUAAUUGCUAGCAAACAAAAUAUUGACCUAAGAACACCAAAUGUAGAGGAAUAAAUUAUUAUCACUAGGAUUGUAGUAAAGCUAACUGCCUAUGGAUUAC
RNAcentral lists this long non-coding RNA (572 nucleotides) under Mytilus galloprovincialis (Mediterranean mussel). Lineage: Eukaryota; Metazoa; Mollusca; Bivalvia; Mytilida; Mytilidae. The record is from RNAcentral.